Molecule: ribosomal RNA, 610 nt
Filed under: Enterobacter hormaechei
Lineage: Bacteria; Pseudomonadati; Pseudomonadota; Gammaproteobacteria; Enterobacterales; Enterobacteriaceae
Description: bacterial SSU rRNA
Rfam family: Bacterial small subunit ribosomal RNA
Source: RNAcentral
CUGGGCGUAAGCGCACGCAGGCGGUCUGUCAAGUCGGAUGUGAAAUCCCCGGGCUCAACCUGGGAACUGCAUUCGAAACUGGCAGGCUAGAGUCUUGUAGAGGGGGGUAGAAUUCCAGGUGUAGCGGUGAAAUGCGUAGAGAUCUGGAGGAAUACCGGUGGCGAAGGCGGCCCCCUGGACAAAGACUGACGCUCAGGUGCGAAAGCGUGGGGAGCAAACAGGAUUAGAUACCCUGGUAGUCCACGCCGUAAACGAUGUCGACUUGGAGGUUGUGCCCUUGAGGCGUGGCUUCCGGAGCUAACGCGUUAAGUCGACCGCCUGGGGAGUACGGCCGCAAGGUUAAAACUCAAAUGAAUUGACGGGGGCCCGCACAAGCGGUGGAGCAUGUGGUUUAAUUCGAUGCAACGCGAAGAACCUUACCUACUCUUGACAUCCAGAGAACUUUCCAGAGAUGGAUUGGUGCCUUCGGGAACUCUGAGACAGGUGCUGCAUGGCUGUCGUCAGCUCGUGUUGUGAAAUGUUGGGUUAAGUCCCGCAACGAGCGCAACCCUUAUCCUUUGUUGCCAGCGGUUAGGCGGGAACUCAAAGGAGACUGCCAGUGAUAAACUGG